This 492-nucleotide ribosomal RNA is filed under the name uncultured bacterium. Its description in RNAcentral is "partial 16S ribosomal RNA". It matches the Rfam family "Bacterial small subunit ribosomal RNA", at positions 28 to 506 of the family's 1533-position model. The record is from RNAcentral.
GACGAACGCUGGCGGCGUGCUUAACACAUGCAAGUCGAACGGUGAAGCGCCUUCCUUUUGGUGGGUGUGGAUGAGUGGCGAACGGGUGAGUAACACGUGAGUAACCUGCCCCCUUCUUCUGGAUAACCGCAUGAAAGUGUGGCUAAUACGGGAUAUUCUGGGUCUGUCGCAUGAUGGGUCUGGGAAAGAUAUUGUUUCGGUGGGGGAUGGGCUCGCGGCCUAUCAGCUUGUUGGUGGGGUGAUGGCCUACCAAGGCGGUGACGGGUAGCCGGCCUGAGAGGGUGGACGGUCACACUGGGACUGAGACACGGCCCAGACUCCUACGGGAGGCAGCAGUGGGGAAUAUUGCACAAUGGGCGCAAGCCUGAUGCAGCGACGCCGCGUGAGGGAUGGAGGCCUUCGGGUUGUGAACCUCUUUCGCCAGUGAAGCAGGCCUGCCUCGUUUGUGGGUGGGUUGACGGUAGCUGGAUAAGAAGCGCCGGCUAACUACGU